This 1169-nucleotide long non-coding RNA is filed under the name Drosophila guanche. Lineage: Eukaryota; Metazoa; Arthropoda; Insecta; Diptera; Drosophilidae. The record is from RNAcentral.
GCGCACUUUACUUAAGCUUUGAUUACCGAAUUCGUUUACCCAUUGCACUAUUGGAAAUUUACCACUUGUUGUGGAUUGAAAACGAAAAAAAUUUGUUCUAUGUAGUGUUUUGAUAUUAAUAAGCUCAUAAUAAUGAGACGAUGGUACGUUAAUCGUAAGUGUAAAAUCGCAUUUUUUUUAUACCCGGUACUCGAAGAGUAAAUAGGGUAUAUUGUAUUUGUGUGGAAUAACGGUUGUAUGUAACGCACAGAAGGAAGCGUUUCCGACCCCACGUUCCUACAAGGUGGAACUCGACUUUGACUAUGCUUGAACGCCUUUCUUUGUUCAAAACUUUCUGUGAGAAUCAAGUUAGUGAGUCGUUUCAAUUGUCUGAAGCAGACUGGAAAGAUACUCACGAACUGGUCGAAGCGUUACAUGCAAUUUAUACUGCCACACAAAAACUGCAGAUGAAGCAGCUACAUCUGGGCGAUUUCUAUAAGAUGUGGUUAGAGCUUACGCUAACAAUUAAAGCCAUGAAAAACUCACAUGGUGCAGCACUACAAGAGGCAAUUGGGAGAAGAGAAGAGGCUUUAAAGUCGAACGAAUUGGUUACUUCAGCCAUCUAUUUGGAUCCCAGGAUGCGAAGGGAUUUGCUUAAAAAUCCAUUAAAACUAUUACUAACGAAGAACCAUUUGACUACACUUUACAGGCAAAUAAAUGGAAUUGCAAACAAAGUAAGUAACUUAAAGAAUGAAGAAUGCAAUUGUUUUCGUAUUUAUUUUAAUCUAUGUUUACACUGUUAAUUGCAGGACGAUCUAUUACCAGCUAUAAGCUUAGAUUCGCCAGAGCCCACUGCGCAUGAAUUUGACCAGCCUUCCACAAGCCAAUUUUCGAGCGCGUCACAGAGUACUUGCUCAUUGCUCAAUGAUUUCCUCAAUUCCAUUGAGGUUGCUUAAGGCAAAGAUGAGCCAGAUGAAGAGGAGGAACAUGAAGUUCAGCUUGCCAUUAAUGAAAUAAACAAUUAUUGUCCGAAGCCAAUUGACAUAAAUGCCAAUAUUAUGGAUUAUUGGGAAGAAAAGAAAUACAUAUAUCCCCGCUUAUAUGAAUUGGAAAAGGUCAUACAUUGUGUUCUAGCAACACAAGUCAGCGUUGAUAGGGCAUUUUCGGCACUGACACUUAUUCUAUCGGAC